RNAcentral lists this ribosomal RNA (550 nucleotides) under uncultured bacterium. RNAcentral's name for it is "bacterial SSU rRNA". It matches the Rfam family "Bacterial small subunit ribosomal RNA", at positions 355 to 896 of the family's 1533-position model. The record is from RNAcentral.
UGGGGAAUUUUGGACAAUGGGGGCAACCCUGAUCCAGCCAUACCGCGUGAGUGAAGAAGGCCUUCGGGUUGUAAAGCUCUUUCAGCCGGAAAGAAAUUGCUUCUAUUAAUACUAGGAGUAGAUGACGGUACCGGCAGAAGAAGCACCGGCUAACUACGUGCCAGCAGCCGCGGUAAUACGUAGGGUGCGAGCGUUAAUCGGAAUUACUGGGCGUAAAGGGUGCGCAGGCGGUUUUGUAAGCCAGAUGUGAAAUCCCCGGGCUCAACCUGGGAACUGCAUUUGGGACUGCAAGGCUAGAGUACGGCAGAGGGAGGUAGAAUUCCACGUGUAGCAGUGAAAUGCGUAGAUAUGUGGAGGAAUACCGAUGGCGAAGGCAGCCUCCUGGGUCGAUACUGACGCUCAUGCACGAAAGCGUGGGGAGCAAACAGGAUUAGAUACCCUGGUAGUCCACGCCCUAAACGAUGUCAACUAGGUGUUGGGGAAGGAGACUUCUUUAGUACCGCAGCUAACGCGAUAAGUUGACCGCCUGGGGAGUACGGUCGCAAGAUUA